AAGGCCUGGCGACCAUCAUUGUUUUUUGUCAACUCGCGAUACACGAACACCAAGUGAAACUUACUGUGUGAACCGGUGAUAUGUGCUGUGUGUGAAAUUCAUAAGUUCCCGAAGGACUCUGGAUAUGUGCCCGUAAGUUACCAAAGGAUCCUGGAGGUACAAGAGGCAUACAGGAUUAUGUUAGGCAGAUACGCUAUUCCACCAGAUCCAAUCGAGGAUCCAGGUUACGUCCUAUACCUAACCUCAAUCUAAGAGUAAAGCCGGAAAUGGAAUUUAUUUGAGCAGACCUGGAAGGAUGUUUUACAACUGGUAGCCACUCCGUGGGAUUUACGCGAAUCAAUGCGGAAGACAAAAUGGCCGACCGGAUCGUCGCAAUAAACUGGCCAAUUCUCAAGUGCUUCCGGUCGGCAAAGUUUUCGACGUCGGAGGAGCAAAUGUCCUUCCGAACGAGUGGACCAGUAGUACCCGCUACGGGCGAACGAGAGCAAUCUCUUUGAAGUCGAAACGAUGCAACAAAAAAUGGAGGACGGUCUAUAUUUAUAAGUAUGUGACUCAUUAGCGUGAAGAAUUUCUACGCGGCAGACAGUUUCCAACGCGACACAGCGAUACGAGUGAGUUUUCAAUGCAGCACUAUCGCAAUGACGCAAAAUAGUUGGAAGUUAAUUAUUUUCUUUAAAGAAAAAUUCGAUUUCAUUAUUUUUAUUCAGUCACCAUGAAUUGUCAGAAUUGUCAGAAAUUUUAAUUGGCAGAUUUUAAUCGACCGAAUGCCAUAAAUUCAAUAAUAAACGAAUGUUUGUACACACAAAAGUACACGCGUAUGCAAACUACCCUUGUUGCGAUAUAAAAAAAAAUUUAAUAAUUUUAAUUCAGCAUCCAACAAUUCGAAUUGAAUUUUACAAAAUUUUUCAUAUCGAUAAUAAAUCAUUCAGUCCUUACGUCACGCAGCUAUGUAAAAAAUAAUUAAAUUUUCAAUAUCCGUCAAAAGUCAAAAUUUCAGUGAAAAGGUCCCAGUAAAGUUUCACAACGUCAAAGGAUACGCGUAAACUGUACAAGAGGCUGAAAAUCCUAGGGGGUUGGGGCACAGAGAAUAUUCCGCGAGUUUUAUCUCGUUCGUUCCGUACGAGAAAGACGCUCUUCCGGUAGAGAAAAUAGAGCGACGCUGGCGCCAUCUGCCCCACAGGCAAAACCCAAGGAUGCCAAAGGCUGAUAAGAACGCGACUGUCCCGGCUAAUUGCACUUCGGAAAACUGCAAGUUACUCGAUUCGAUUUGCUGGCGGAUUACGGAAUAUCUACCCAGGGGUAGUUGCGGCAUCAUAAAGGGGGUGGCUUUCCACAACGAGGCAUAUAGGUACAGUGACUCUUCGCCGAGCAAAAAGAAACGGAGCCUUUAAAGGCUUAGAGCCCACGGAUAACAAAGAGCAACGCUUAUCCGACAAAAAUGCUGUUUACCCAGGGACGUACCCUCACGCCAAGUAACCCUCAACUUAUGGUAUGACGCAAGGGGGUGCCAAAAAAUUUGAAAAAAAUUACUGGUUUAAUAAAAAUCCUCAUAGAUCCUAAAAUUGUU
Long non-coding RNA from Cephus cinctus (wheat stem sawfly), 1567 nucleotides. RefSeq lists it as uncharacterized. The transcript has 6 exons. The record is from RefSeq and is a predicted model, not a curated record. Lineage: Eukaryota; Metazoa; Arthropoda; Insecta; Hymenoptera; Cephidae.